AACGAACGCUGGCGGCAUGCCUAACACAUGCAAGUCGAACGAGACCUUCGGGUCUAGUGGCGCACGGGUGCGUAACGCGUGGGAAUCUGCCCUUGGGUUCGGAAUAACAGUUGGAAACGACUGCUAAUACCGGAUGAUGACGUAAGUCCAAAGAUUUAUCGCCCAGGGAUGAGCCCGCGUAGGAUUAGCUAGUUGGUGGGGUAAAGGCCUACCAAGGCGACGAUCCUUAGCUGGUCUGAGAGAAUGAUCAGCCACACUGGGACUGAGACACGGCCCAGAAUCCUACGCGAAGCAGCAGUGGGGAAUAUUGGACAAUGGGCGAAAGCCUGAUCCAGCAAUGCCGCGUGAGUGAUGAAGGCCUUAGGGUUGUAAAGCUCUUUUACCCGGGAUGAUAAUGACAGUACCGGGAGAAUAAGCCCCGGCUAACUCCGUG
RNAcentral lists this ribosomal RNA (433 nucleotides) under uncultured bacterium. RNAcentral describes it as "partial 16S ribosomal RNA". It matches the Rfam family "Bacterial small subunit ribosomal RNA", at positions 29 to 507 of the family's 1533-position model. The record is from RNAcentral.